This 272-nucleotide long non-coding RNA is filed under the name Panax ginseng (ginseng). RNAcentral's name for it is "long non-coding RNA (PGIN_LNC016139)". The record is from RNAcentral. Lineage: Eukaryota; Viridiplantae; Streptophyta; Magnoliopsida; Apiales; Araliaceae.
CUAUUGAUACUGUUAUUGUUCUGUUACUGCUUCUGUUAUUGCUAGUGCUGCUGCUAUUUUUCCAACAAAAACUACCAAAUUUAUCCAACUUGAAAAACUUGGAAUACUUGUAUCUGAGAAAUUCUACGAGUUUGGUAAAGAUUCAGGGCUUGGAGGACCUCAACUCGGUACACAAAAUCGAUGCUAGAGGCUGCAUUGAUCUGACGAUUACUUUUUUAAGUAGCUUAAUUCAGGUUGGUCUUGUUUCUUUCUUGUUGUCCCUCUUUUCCAUU